Molecule: ribosomal RNA, 492 nt
Filed under: uncultured bacterium
Lineage: Bacteria
Description: partial 16S ribosomal RNA
Rfam family: Bacterial small subunit ribosomal RNA
Source: RNAcentral
AGUGAACGCUGGCGGUAGGCCUAACACAUGCGAGUCGAACGGCAGCACAGUAAGAGCUUGCUCUUACGGGUGGCGAGUGGCGGACGGGUGAGGAAUACAUCGGAAUCUACUUUUUCGUGGGGGAUAACGUAGGGAAACUUACGCUAAUACCGCAUACGACCUACGGGUGAAAGCAGGGGAUCUUCGGACCUUGCGCGAUUGAAUGAGCCGAUGUCGGAUUAGCUAGUUGGCGGGGUAAAGGCCCACCAAGGCGACGAUCCGUAGCUGGUCUGAGAGGAUGAUCAGCCACACUGGAACUGAGACACGGUCCAGACUCCUACGGGAGGCAGCAGUCGGGAAUAUUAGACAAUGGGCGCAAGCCUGAUCCAGCCAUACGGCGUGGGAGGAGAAGGCAUUGGGGUUGUGAAGCCAGUUUGUUGGGAGAGAAAAGCUGCAGGUUGAGACACCGCUGGUGUGACGGUAUCUAAAGAAGAAGCACCGGCUAACUUCGUG